GUGGCACUAAGAUGAGAGAGGAAGUUUCACUGGCCUUUUUGCAUGACUACAACUUCCCAACUAGCUCCUGUUGUCACAAAAAAAAAGAGUCAAAAAGGGAAACUGGCAGCAGCAGCAGCAGCGCCCAACUGACUUCCAGUUACUCGACAGGAUAAGGGCCGGAGCGAUGCUCUACGAGGAAAACAACGCACACAGCUCGGGGGGAGGAGGAAGGGCAGCCCCACACAGCGCCCCGCGGGACCCCAACACGGCGGCAGCUCCGUCACACGCGGCCCGAAGGGCGGGACGGGCGGUCACACAGCGGCCGCGAACAGCGCGGGCUGCGACGGCAAAGCCGCAGGGAGAGCAGAACCGCCGAGCUGGGCAGCGAUAGGGGCAGCGCUCUGCCAGCGUGCGAGGCAGGGAGGAUCGCAUCAGAGUUAUUAGCGGGGAGCUCGCAAGUGAUUCCAGUGCGGUAGGAACUCAGCACCAGCGCCGCGCCGCCGCCGCCCGGCCGCCAUCAUAGGGCCCGACCGCGCGGCCACGCC
This 527-nucleotide long non-coding RNA is filed under the name Gallus gallus (chicken). The record is from RNAcentral. Lineage: Eukaryota; Metazoa; Chordata; Aves; Galliformes; Phasianidae.